This 254-nucleotide ribosomal RNA is filed under the name uncultured prokaryote. RNAcentral describes it as "partial 16S ribosomal RNA". It matches the Rfam family "Bacterial small subunit ribosomal RNA", at positions 524 to 777 of the family's 1533-position model. The record is from RNAcentral.
UACGAAGGGGGCUAGCGUUGCUCGGAAUUACUGGGCGUAAAGCGCACGUAGGCGGCUUUCUAAGUCGGGGGUGAAAUCCUGGAGCUUAACUCCAGAACUGCCUUCGAUACUGGAAAGCUCGAGUCCGGGAGAGGUGAGUGGAACUGCGAGUGUAGAGGUGAAAUUCGUAGAUAUUAGCUAGAACACCAGUGGCGAAGGCGGCCAACUGGUCCGGAACUGACGCUGAGGUGCGAAAGCGUGGGGAGCAAACAGGA